UUGAUCUAAUCAUACAUCUGAUUGCAAGUCGGAUUUUUAGCUCCAAGCUAUUAGGUCU
RNAcentral lists this transfer RNA (58 nucleotides) under Ctenophorus caudicinctus macropus. Its description in RNAcentral is "tRNA-Cys". The record is from RNAcentral. Lineage: Eukaryota; Metazoa; Chordata; Lepidosauria; Squamata; Agamidae.